GGAGAACUCAGGACUGGGUGUCCAUCAGAAUAUUUUGCCGUGCACAGCGAGAGCGUUUUCUCCAUUCUGAGAGAACCUGAAGACCUAGGCUUCCCAAGGCGACCUGCGUGGAGGACUCAUCUCCUCGCCUUUUCAUAACCUCGCAUCUAACCAGGCGCCUGCAUUCACCAGUCCUCGCAGUUCAGAGGAGGUAAUAUUCAACCUGCCCUUUGAAGAACAGGUGGAAUUUGACGGAGAAGGAAACAGCAGGACAAGCACCCUCAGGAAGGAGCAGCUGCUGGUCAUGGAGCCAUGAACACAUUGAGCAGUCGGGAAAAGUGUGGUGGUUCUCAAUGUGUGUUCCUGCAACAGCAGCAUCACCUGGGAAUUUUUAGACAUGCUAAUUCUUGGACGCCACCCUAA
Molecule: long non-coding RNA, 402 nt
Filed under: Monodon monoceros (narwhal)
Lineage: Eukaryota; Metazoa; Chordata; Mammalia; Artiodactyla; Monodontidae
Description: lncRNA (ENSMMNG00015004408.1)
Source: RNAcentral